UUAAUUGAAACCAAAAUAGAGGUAAAUUAUUGUUAAUAAUUUUAUUGAAUAAAAUUUAUUCCAAUUAAU
This 69-nucleotide transfer RNA is filed under the name Cardiochiles fuscipennis. RNAcentral's name for it is "tRNA-Asn". The record is from RNAcentral. Lineage: Eukaryota; Metazoa; Arthropoda; Insecta; Hymenoptera; Braconidae.